GCUCUGCCGGCAGAGCCACGGGCGGAUCUCCCCCCUCCCCAUCGUUGCCUUCCGCCACCGCCUCUCCCACGCUCCCACCGUCCCACCCCAACCGGCGAAAGAAAAAUCAGUUGCGAGCUCGCAAUCCAGCUCCUCCCCCGCCACCCCACGCACGACGCCGGCUCCUCCCGCACGCUCGCGACCUCGCCCUGCUCCGACAUCCCUGCGGCGCCUCCCGCCUGUGGCCUCCCCGCCGACAUCCCCUACCUUCCCCUCUACUUCAUUUGGCAAGUCCUCGCAGCCUCCCCGCCGGUGCAGAGCCGCCACCAUGGAGCAGCUCCGAAGCCGGCCGGAUUUUCCGGCCAAAUCCAGCCCUCUCCGCCAUUGGUGAGCACACCUCUGAGUUCCCCUCCCUCUCCUCUCCCUCCCUCACACAUAAACUGCUGUGCUGGGACGCUUGAGAUCGGGGCCGAUUGCUCGAGCUGCUCGCCGUACUUGCCAUCGCGUCAUCCCCGUCGCCCCGCACUGCCGCCGUCGCGUCGUCCAACCAUCCCACCACGCCGCCGCUGCGGCGUUGAUCCAUAGCCACGUCGCCGCUGCAGCCCCACCACCCACCGCGGCACCACACCGCCUCUGCGGCGUCGACCCCAGCGUCGCCACGGUGCCGCCGUCGUGCCGCCUCCAUCCAGACGCCCUGCCGUUAGUCCGCUUGGUGACCAGGGCCUCAUGUAGAUGGGUCCAGGGGUUGCAGGCGUGCUGCCCCAUUCAAGAGGGCGCAAGCCCAUUAGCUAUUCGACAGAUGGCUUCAAUCUCGUGGAUAGAUGCAGUGAUAGUUCCUUGGUACGAAAUGCACCUGCUAAGCACACUGCUCACCAGAAGUUCGAUGGAAUGCCUCACAGGACCAUUGUUCGAGGGAAGAUCAAUUCAGCAAGAGGUGUCGGGGGCAGAGAACGCAGAGCAAAUCAAUUUUUCUGAAUAAACUAAAGCAGAAUUGCACUGUAUAUGGUCAUUCAAUAGCAACCAUUUGGCUGGACAGAUACCAGAUAUUUUUCAGCACUCAACUUUGACUUGUCUAAACAAUGUUAUCCUAGACUACCAUUAACUGAUAAUUUCAGAACUUGCUAUGAUAGUAUCUAAAACUGUCUCAACUAGAUUCUUAUAUUUCCAUGUCCAAAUAUGAGUGAUUGAUUGUAUGAGUUUUUACCAUUUA
Long non-coding RNA from Panicum hallii, 1189 nucleotides. RefSeq lists it as uncharacterized. The transcript is spliced from 3 exons. The record is from RefSeq and is a predicted model, not a curated record. Lineage: Eukaryota; Viridiplantae; Streptophyta; Magnoliopsida; Poales; Poaceae.